RNAcentral lists this long non-coding RNA (367 nucleotides) under Bos taurus (domestic cattle). RNAcentral's name for it is "long non-coding RNA NONBTAT001154". Lineage: Eukaryota; Metazoa; Chordata; Mammalia; Artiodactyla; Bovidae. The record is from RNAcentral.
AAAAAGUCUUCUCAUAUACCACCAGAGCCUCUAAAUACAUACAUCUCAUGAUUCCUUAUUCUAUCUAGUAUCACAUCAUAUUAAUUGGAAAAAUGAGUUAGUCAAUCUAUCAUUUUAUGAUCCAUUUUGGAUUCUUCUUCUAUUAUCAUUCCUCUGGGGCUAUUUCUUGUCUCAUGUAUAGAACUCAUUAGAAAUCCAAUGCAUCCUUUCUUAAAAUGCCCUGUCCCUUCAAGCCUUAUACCAUGUUUUCUUAAAUUUCUUUAUUCCUUCUCAGAUCUUUUUUUUUUUUUUUUGGUAAGAUCUUAUUUUUAAUUCCUCUGCCUCUCUGAUGAUCAUAUUUUUCCUACAUUCUCCAACAUACCAAAUA